UCGGCCAAAAUUGACCCGGCCCAUUACUAUUUCCCAUUCUCCAAAUACCGGAUUUAUCAGCAAAACAGUGGGCAAAAGUUCAACAACAGCAACAUCAACAUCGACAAUAUAACACGACAUAUCCCUGAAUUCCCUCUUCUUCACGUUGAAAUUCAAUACCAAGCUUCCAUCUUCAAUCACGGCAAAUCGGUGGAUUUCUUGGCUUUUGCAGAGCCAACAGCUACAAUUGUCUUCUCUAUCACUUCAUGAUGAAAACUUUUACUCCUUUUCCCUCUCUUUCUUAGUUUUGAAAUUUGAAUUCUUAGCUUCUGGAAGAAGUUGGAUCUGAGUUUUUUCCUAUAAACACAACCCUCUAUUCACUCAUUAAGGAAGAGGAGAAAAAAGAUCAAGUUCUCGGUCCCUCUUUAUUUUCUUAAUUGGAGUCGAAUUCGAGUUCGAAUUGAAGAGAUUCAGGUUACACUUUGAUUACUCUCAUCGCUUUCAUCGUAUGCACUUGAAGAAUGAGCUCGAAUCACCGACAAGAACGCCCUAGUUCACUGCCCCCAAAAAAGGAAUUUAUUGGUUAAAUGACGCUGCUCUCGACCGAUACUCAGUUUGAUAAUAGAGGCCCCCUUUCUCGUCACUAACUUCAUUGUCCCUUCUUUGGUUUCUUUGUUUUCGUUUGUUUGUUUUCCUGUAAAGUAAAUCAACAACAAUGGCAUUCUUCCAUAACAUUCUGUAGUUGUAGUUCUGCAUUUAUGUUUUACCUUUGUGUAGCUAAUAUUUUUAAAAUGUUAUAGUUGAAGACAUUCUAUGAUGUACUAACUUGUUGUAAGGUACUUUUUUCCUU
Molecule: long non-coding RNA, 829 nt
Organism: Capsicum annuum
Lineage: Eukaryota; Viridiplantae; Streptophyta; Magnoliopsida; Solanales; Solanaceae
Exons: 2
Source: RefSeq, a predicted model, not a curated record